UUUGUCUCUCUACCUUCCUUUCUCUCACUACCACCACCACCAUCACCAUCAACCGCCACCACCACCCAUGCUACCUGCAACCAUCUUGAAAAAUCACAGAAUCCACUAUUUUUGCUAGCAUUUCCUACCUAGAAAAAUGGGUUUGUAAAGAAGAUCACUGCAACAAGAAAGCAACAAAUUAGUUCAAAAACAUUUUGACCACUCUACUUUCCCAAAACCUAACCCUAAGAUUAAAAACUAAUUGCCGCAUCUUCUAGUUAUAUUUCUGAAAAUCUGAAGAUGACUCAUGCGAACAACAUCGUCAGGCCAGAUAGGAGGUGAUCAUGUUCCGCUCUGCAACAUAGUAAAUUAUCAUAAAUUAUGAGCUCCAAACUGCACUGUAUCUAGAAGCUUCUCUAACCAUUUAUCAUGUUGCUGAUCGUUCGUGAAAGCAUCAAACUUUACCAGAAUGUUAUAAUACUCUGAAGCAAUGUUGUUACAACUUCCAGGUGUUUCCACCAUUGAACCCUCACCGCAACUAAGACAGAUCUGGUCCGACGGGUUUCAACUCGUCCACCAUUGAACCCCGCAAGACUGAUGGUUUCAACCCGUCCACCAUUGAACCCGGCCGCACCUUCAAGAACAGAUCGAAACUCGCCGGAACAGAUCCGAAGUCCACCAUUUAUUUGUUUAAUCUUCACAAAAUACAAAUGAUUUUGGGUCUAUGAUGGUUGGCAAGAAAAACAGUACUUAAAUUUAGAAGGGAUGAAAUACAAAAUACAAAAUACAAACAAUUUUGGGUCAAAACUUGCAGAUGCAGUGGAUGUCAAAUUGAGUUAAUUGUAUCAAUAUUUUGGUGUGGGCGAUGGUGGUGUGCCGCCGUGAGCCGCCACAAAGAGUGGUGGCCAACCUGUUGUUAGAGAGAGAGAGAGAGAAGAGAGAGGGAGAGAGUUUCAGAUUAAGAGAAAGAGAAAGAGAGUUAGAGUUUAUAUAUUUUUAUUUUUAAGUUUAGUACAAAAUUGCCCCUGUAAAUUUUUUUUUUACAAAGUAGUCCUUGGAAAGCUGAAAUGACAAUAAUAUCCUCAUGUGCAAAGCACAUGACCAGAUUUAACCAAAAAAUCUAACUGGGUUUGGCAUAAAGUACAUAACGUGUAAGAUUUUGAAACAUUAAGUACAGAACUUGUCAAUUU
This 1169-nucleotide long non-coding RNA is filed under the name Helianthus annuus (common sunflower). RNAcentral's name for it is "hypothetical non coding rna". Lineage: Eukaryota; Viridiplantae; Streptophyta; Magnoliopsida; Asterales; Asteraceae. The record is from RNAcentral.